RNAcentral lists this unclassified non-coding RNA (223 nucleotides) under uncultured fungus. RNAcentral describes it as "sequence contains ITS1, 5.8S rRNA gene". The stretch from base 175 to 223 matches the Rfam family "5.8S ribosomal RNA", at positions 1 to 49 of the family's 154-position model. The record is from RNAcentral. Lineage: Eukaryota; Fungi.
UUUCCGUAGGUGAACCUGCGGAAGGAUCAUUAUCGUAGGGGCCUCGCCCCCUUCGAGAUAGCACCCUUUGUUUAUGAGCACCUCUCGUUUCCUCGGCAGGCUUGCCUGCUACUGGGGACCCUUUAAACUCUUUGUAAAUACAGCAACUGUCUGAACAAACAAACAAAAAAUCAAAACUUUCAACAAUGGAUCUCUUGGUUCUGGCAUCGAUGAAGAACGCAGC